Cercocebus atys (sooty mangabey) is the source of this 1787-nucleotide long non-coding RNA. RefSeq lists it as uncharacterized. The transcript is spliced from 4 exons. The record is from RefSeq and is a predicted model, not a curated record. Lineage: Eukaryota; Metazoa; Chordata; Mammalia; Primates; Cercopithecidae.
CUGACUGAGUGUGGUAACAGUAUUUCUGAACAUAUAGUACUUCAUUAGUACUUUUUAUUAUCUGCUUUGAUUCCUAGCUUCUCUUCCUAUUUUGCCAUAUGCUUUUUACACUUCAAUCCAGUAUCAUAGGCUGAAACAUCGUUCACUGCAAGGUCUUAAUACUAAACUUGUGAAGCAAAUACCACAGCAAUAAGAUCCCUAAUUCCAACAGCUCAAAAGCAGCCCCAUCCUUAUUCCUAGCUAAGCACAAGCAGGCCCUGGGAAUUCUCCAGGGCUGAAGAUAAAACUGGAGAGCAAGGCAAGAAUCACACUUCACUGACUUGAAGUUGGUAUGUGUUGGUUCUCUUCCAUAGGCCAGUCACUCCAGCCUCUUCCUUCAGCUCCUUCUCUAAUACUUUCUUUUCUAAGAAGCACCAUGAGAAUUUGGAAAUUUUGAAGCAAAUGGACUAACAGGCAUAGUGUCAUCCUUUUGAUGUUUCAAGCCCCUAUUUCCUUCCCUAAGAGUCUGUCCUCAAUUUACAUCAUACCAAUAUACUCAUCUAAAUUCAAUGAUGAAUUUAGUGAGGUGGUUUAUUGUCUUAGAUAAGCAAGGCUCCUUUUUAUAAGACAUUUCAAACAUAUACAAAAAUAGAGUUUAAUGAAUUCCAUACACCCAUCAUCCACUUCAAUGGUCAACCCAUAACCAAUCUAUGCUCCUACUCCUCUCUCACCCUAUAUUACUUUGAGGCAAAUCCAAGGCAUUUGAUUAUUUAAUCUGUAGAUAUUUUGGUGUGUGUCUCUAAAUGAUAAUACUCUUGUAAUUUUAGUACAAUAUCAUCGUUAUCCACUCAGUGUUCAAAUUUCCCUGAUUAUCUUACAAAUGAUUGUUGUUGUAGAGGGUCUCUAAGAUGAUGUACAAUGGUCAAUUGGUAUUCUUGCCCUUAUAUAAUUUCCUCCCCAUUAAGUGUGGAAUAGACUUACUAAUUUGUUUCUAAGGAGUAGACUAUAACAAAAAUGACAGGAUGUCACUUCUGAGGUUAGGUUGCAAGAAGACUUCUGGUUUCCAUCUUGGUUGCUCUCUCAUUCACUACCUGCCAGAGGUGGCUUCAAAGGUUUGUAAUCUAUGCAGUCAAGACAGAGUCCUAGGCUUAGAAGGACUUUGCACUUGGUUUAAUGCUUUGCUGUCACUGUCUUGAAAUUCUGAAUAAUUUCUGAACUAAGGGCCCUGUGUUUUUAUUUUGUAUUGGGCCCAACACAUAUAGUUGGUCCUGCCAGCCGCCAUGCUGUGAAUAUGGAGAAGCCAGAAUUGGGGGGAACUCAGGCCUGCCACCAGCCAUAUGAGUGAGCCUGGAAGCAGAUCCUCCAGCCUCAGUAGAACCUUGAGAUAACUGCAAUCUCACAAGAGACUUUGAACCAGAGCCUGCCUCAUCACAAGCUUCAACCCUGCCUGCUGGGCCUCAGAAAAAUAGAGAAAUGGAGGUGUUUAAAGACUAUCUGGGGAACUAUAAACUACUCACAAGUAAUUGUUUACCCUGAGCAUGUGGACAAGGUCUGAUACAUUGUCUUUGGAUGAACAGGCUUCAUAUCUUCCUUACCUUGGGGAACUUGCACAAGGCCAACACUUAUACCAGCAAAUACUGACUGAGCGCCUGCGGCGUGCCUGGCUCUGCGGCAUACCUGGGUACCUGCCGGUGACAGACGCAGCCCCCGCGAUGGGACCCGCUGUGGCCUCGCCCCUCACCGCCUGCAGCCCCCGGCGCCCAGGCGUCUCCCGGCAGCGGCUCACCUGGCUCCUUGGCGGGGGCGGG